Stegodyphus dumicola is the source of this 265-nucleotide long non-coding RNA. The record is from RefSeq and is a predicted model, not a curated record. Lineage: Eukaryota; Metazoa; Arthropoda; Arachnida; Araneae; Eresidae.
CAGUUCUUCAGUUAAGCAACAUCGCCUGUUUCAUAGUCGGGAAGUAUAAUGCCUGUCCAUGAAUCUGUCAUAUACAGGUUUCCACAUCGCCCAUGAGGUAUCUCGUGAACAUAUUUGCCACCUUUGUGAUGACGAUAGCUGUCAAACGGAAGGAAGCUGAAAAAUGAGUAAAAGCUUGGAGAAAGGACUUCCUGCUGAUGUAUGUAUGUGUAAGACUCUUAGUAUUAGAAAAGAAAUAUUUCCCAUUUCUUAACUACUUUCACAG